RNAcentral lists this ribosomal RNA (446 nucleotides) under uncultured bacterium. RNAcentral's name for it is "SSU rRNA". It matches the Rfam family "Bacterial small subunit ribosomal RNA", at positions 26 to 518 of the family's 1533-position model. The record is from RNAcentral.
AGAACGAACGCUGGCGGCAGGCCUAAAACAUGCAAGUCGAACGCUCUAGCAAUAGAGAGUGGCGCACGGGUGCGUAACAUGUGGGAAUAUGCCUUUUGGUACGGAACAACUUUUGGAAACGAAAGCUAAUACCGUAUGGUCCCUUCGGGGUAAAGAUUUAUCGCCAAAAGAGUAGCCCGCACUGGAUUAGCUAGUUGGUAAGGUAAUGGCUUACCAAGGCGACGAUCCAUAGCUGGUCUGAGAGGACGAUCAGCCACACUGGGACUGAGACACGGCCCAGACUCCUACGGGAGGCAGCAGUUAGGAAUCUUGGACAAUGGGCGCAAGCCUGAUCCAGCCAUGCCGCGUGGAUGAUGAAGGCCUUAGGGUUGUAAAGUCCUUUUAACGGGGAAGAUAAUGACGGUACCCGUAGAAUAAGCCCCGGCUAACUUCGUGCCAGCAGCCGC